Molecule: ribosomal RNA, 497 nt
Filed under: uncultured bacterium
Lineage: Bacteria
Description: partial 16S ribosomal RNA
Rfam family: Bacterial small subunit ribosomal RNA
Source: RNAcentral
GACGAACGCUGGCGGCGUGCCUAAUACAUGCAAGUUGAGCGCUGAAGGUUGGUACUUGUACCAACUGGAUGAGCAGCGAACGGGUGAGUAACGCGUGGGGAAUCUGCCUUUGAGCGGGGGACAACAUUUGGAAACGCAUGCUAAUACCGCAUAAAAACUUUAAACACAAGUUUUAAGUUUGAAAGAUGCAAUUGCAUCACUCAAAGAUGAUCCCGCGUUGUAUUAGCUAGUUGGUGAGGUAAAGGCUCACCAAGGCGAUGAUACAUAGCCGACCUGAGAGGGUGAUCGGCCACAUUGGGACUGAGACACGGCCCAAACUCCUACGGGAGGCAGCAGUAGGGAAUCCUCGGCAAUGGACGAAAGUCUGACCGAGCAACGCCGCGUGAGUGAAGAAGGGUUUCGGAUCGUAAAACUCUGUUGGUAGAGAAGAACGUUGGUGAGAGUGGAAAGCUCAUCAAGUGACGGUAACUACCCAGAAAGGGACGGCUAACUACGUG